RNAcentral lists this ribosomal RNA (225 nucleotides) under uncultured Pantoea sp. RNAcentral describes it as "partial 16S ribosomal RNA". It matches the Rfam family "Bacterial small subunit ribosomal RNA", at positions 568 to 792 of the family's 1533-position model. The record is from RNAcentral. Lineage: Bacteria; Pseudomonadati; Pseudomonadota; Gammaproteobacteria; Enterobacterales; Erwiniaceae.
CACGCAGGCGGUCUGUUAAGUCAGAUGUGAAAUCCCCGGGCUUAACCUGGGAACUGCAUUUGAAACUGGCAGGCUUGAGUCUCGUAGAGGGGGGUAGAAUUCCAGGUGUAGCGGUGAAAUGCGUAGAGAUCUGGAGGAAUACCGGUGGCGAAGGCGGCCCCCUGGACGAAGACUGACGCUGAGUCGCGAAAGUAUGGGGAGCAAACAGGAUUAGAUACCCUGGUA